GGCAGUACUACAACACAUGAAAAUCAUUUAAAGUUAACCCUCUGCUUUGAAUAACAGUUAUGGGGAUGUUAAACAAACCAGAAUUCCUAGUUUAUAUUAGUAAUGAACAUUCCGCUUGCUAACAAAUAUACAGUAGCCAUACACAUCUAUGUAUCUCUCAUUACACAGAUAUGGACCACAUGACGGGGUGAGCAGUUCUGUUGGGGUCAAUGCACAUUUCAGGUACACCGCAAAGAACAAAGCUAGAGGCUGAAUGCCUGCACACACUUCAGAAGCAAGUACACAUUAACAUAUGAAAUAAUUAACAUGACAUUACAGCACAUAAAGCAAUGAAUAGCUUUAAUAUGUGGUGGUUUUUAAAAAAAUGUGUUUUAUCUUUUGAUUCUCUUAGCAUCCUUGUGAUAUCCUGAGAAAGGAAUAAAGGUUAGAGUUAUUAGCAAAGAUCAAAAUCAAGAAACUUGCAUUUAGAUCAGAAUUGUAUACAAUAACGAAAAUCUCCGUAGAUGUUGACUAAAUUAUUCAUCUAUUUUUUGCUUUUAAAAUGAUUUUAAAAGAAACUUUGAAAAUCAAAUCAACCCAAAUCAAAAGCAUAUAAAAUGUAUCACUACAAAAUAAUUUUAAAGGAAAAAGAUACAAUAAAUUAAACCAAAGAAUUUAAGAGGUCACGAUUUAUUCUGUAGAGCUAAAAAUAAAAUUAUUUCUUCCCUAUUGAAAAAUUUCUAGUACCAUAAAGCUGAAGUACAUAACUUUAAAGUCUGCAAAAUAAGACUGUUUAACGCUUACAUACUUUAUACGACAGAUUUCACAAAGGGAAAGAAGAAAGGUGAAAGUGACAAGUAUAAUUUUUCAAGAUGUGUUAAAAACGGUAAAAACUAACAUUCUUUUUUGAUAUUUAGUUCAUAUUUUCAGUCACAAUAUAACAUAUCCUAUAAUCAAUAUUUAAAACAAAAACAUUUAAACUAGAAAUCAUUUAUACUACUUUAAAUUUAUAACAAGAUAGCUUAAUUGUUUAAGCUUAAUUUGUUUACUUUUCAGUACAUUAAAUCCUAAUCUGGGAACGUCUUCUCUAACUCAACAUGUACGCUGUUGUUGUGUUGUUAGUUGCUGUCCACUCAAUUCUGACUCAUGGCCACCCGUGUGUGCAGAGUGGAACUGCUGCUGCACAGGGUCUUCAAGGCUGUCACCUUUCAGAAGCAGAGAGCCUAGCCUAAGGCAGCUAAUAGUUCCUAUAAUUUUCAGAGACAUGAGGGAACGUGGAAGACCAGAAAAAAAAAUGCAAUGAUGACAACAAAACUAAACACGCAGAAUCUAUGCCUGCCAUAGUCUCCAAGGUUUCCCAACCAAAAGAAAAGGCCAACCUGGAUCACAUACAGCAGCUGAGAGGAGCCUCACAAGCAAGUCUUGUACUUCACCCAUGCUGUCCCCUAUAUUUAGCAAUCCCUCUUGAAGAACACUCAGGUUGCUAUGAGCCGGAAUUUGAGAUAAUGCACUUAGGAAAUUUUAAACACCCAGAUGACUAAAGCUAGUAAGUAUACUUUCAUUUUUAUUCAAAAGCAUUUAUGCUAAGUAGAUAAAUGAAAUAUUAAUAUAAUUCAAUCUCUAGUAGGGUUAUUAAAAGUUUGCUUUAAGCAUCAUAGGAAAGAGUUUAUAUAAAUCAAGGGACAAUCACUAUUUGUAUCUGAGAUGAAUAUGGUCCAUAAGUAAAUAUGGAUGAUCUUGACCAAGCAUAACAAGUUAUUGCAACAGUAUAAUAGUGAUGAUUUGUGUUAUUAAUAUAAUUUUCUAGAAGUGCCAUUUUCUUGAAUAUAGUAAAAAUAACUGAUUUUUACUUAAAGUAUGGGAAAUCAUGCUGGUUGCCAGGAUUAUUUUGAUCUUUCUACAUUUCCACUUUUGUGUAUUUUUGCAGCCUUAUAUGUAUGUGAAACACUACAGAAGAGAAAACACAGAAGAAGUACUUAACUUGUUGGCGUUGAGUCAAUUCCAACUCGUAGCGACCCUAUAGGACAGAGUAGAACUGCCCCAUACGGUUUCAAAAGAGCACCUGGUGGAAUCAAACUGCUGGCCUUUUGGUCAGCAGCCAUAGCACUUAACUACUACGCCACCGGGGUUUCCAAGAAGUACUUUAGUUGUACACAAUUUCUUGGUUUUCAGGAUGAUACACAGUAUGGAUUCAGGAGUCCAACAAACCGGAGUUUGGAUCUAAAUUGCCAUUUAUUAGGUGGGUAAUCUUGGGAAAGUUCUUUAACCUCUUUGUGUCUCAGUUUUCUCAUCUGUAAAUGGAGAUAAAUACCAACUUCACAGGAAUGUGAUGAGAUCAAAUGAAAGACUCCAAAUAAAGCACUUAGCAUAGUACCUGGCAUGUAGUAAACAUGCUCAAAAAAAGGUUAGCUACUGUUAGUAAAGCACUGAGUGAGGUUAUAAACAAUAAAUCCUAAUUUAUUUAAAUAUACAUGGGGUGAGGGUGAGGAGGACUUAGGUCUUUCUGAGCCUGAAGGCCUGGGACAAACCAAAUGAAACAUGGAUAACCUAUCUACCUUUAUAAUUCUUCGUAGAUUUUUGCAGUAUUUCCAAUUAAAUUAGAAAGAUUCGUUAGUUAUAUAUUAAGAACUGCCAUUAUCAGUACAGGAGCUCUAGAGAGGUUUACUGGUGGGCCAUCCAGGAGAAGCACAUUGACCUAGGCUUGGAAAUUCAGUGCUCUAGUUAAAAACAAAAAGCUUUCAUAAUGGCAGCUCUGGCAAAGGAAUCAGGUGAGAACACAGGGAAAAUUAACAUUUUUUAAUGAAAUGAUUCCCACGAUACAUAGAUUACCUUUUGGUCUGCUAAGCACAUGUCUUCAUUAGGCUUCUUUAGUUCCUUUGCCAUUU
Loxodonta africana (African savanna elephant) is the source of this 2864-nucleotide long non-coding RNA. RefSeq lists it as uncharacterized. The record is from RefSeq and is a predicted model, not a curated record. The transcript is spliced from 4 exons. Lineage: Eukaryota; Metazoa; Chordata; Mammalia; Proboscidea; Elephantidae.